ACUCCGGUCCCGUGCAAUGAGGCACUGCGAACCCCGCCAGGUCCGGAAGGAAGCAACGGUAAGCAGAGCGUUUCAUGUGCCGCGGUCAACCGGAGUUCC
RNAcentral lists this signal recognition particle RNA (99 nucleotides) under Acidobacteriota bacterium. Its description in RNAcentral is "Acidobacteria bacterium (groundwater metagenome) signal recognition particle sRNA small type". It matches the Rfam family "Bacterial small signal recognition particle RNA". Rfam says of the family: The signal recognition particle (SRP) is a universally conserved ribonucleoprotein involved in the co-translational targeting of proteins to membranes. Lineage: Bacteria; Pseudomonadati; Acidobacteriota. The record is from RNAcentral.